AUUGAACGCUGGCGGCAGGCCUAACACAUGCAAGUCGAACGGUAACAGAAAGCAGCUUGCUGCUUUGCUGACGAGUGGCGGACGGGUGAGUAAUGUCUGGGAAACUGCCUGAUGGAGGGGGAUAACUACUGGAAACGGUAGCUAAUACCGCAUAACGUCGCAAGACCAAAGAGGGGGACCUUCGGGCCUCUUGCCAUCGGAUGUGCCCAGAUGGGAUUAGCUAGUAGGUGGGGUAAAGGCUCACCUAGGCGACGAUCCCUAGCUGGUCUGAGAGGAUGACCAGCCACACUGGAACUGAGACACGGUCCAGACUCCUACGGGAGGCAGCAGUGGGGAAUAUUGCACAAUGGGCGCAAGCCUGAUGCAGCCAUGCCGCGUGUAUGAAGAAGGCCUUCGGGUUGUAAAGUACUUUCAGCGGGGAGGAAGGGGGUAAAGUUAAUACCUUUGCUCAUUGACGUUACCCGCAGAAGAAGCACCGGCUAACUCCGUG
RNAcentral lists this ribosomal RNA (490 nucleotides) under uncultured bacterium. Its description in RNAcentral is "partial 16S ribosomal RNA". It matches the Rfam family "Bacterial small subunit ribosomal RNA", at positions 30 to 507 of the family's 1533-position model. The record is from RNAcentral.